This 88-nucleotide transfer RNA is filed under the name Chloroflexaceae bacterium. RNAcentral describes it as "tRNA-Ser". It matches the Rfam family "tRNA". From Rfam's summary of the family: Transfer RNA (tRNA) molecules are approximately 80 nucleotides in length. Their secondary structure includes four short double-helical elements and three loops (D, anti-codon, and T loops). Further hydrogen bonds mediate the characteristic L-shaped molecular structure. tRNAs have two regions of fundamental functional importance: the anti-codon, which is responsible for specific mRNA codon recognition, and the 3' end, to which the tRNAs corresponding amino acid is attached (by aminoacyl-tRNA synthetases). tRNAs cope with the degeneracy of the genetic code in two manners: having more than one tRNA (with a specific anti-codon) for a particular amino acid; and 'wobble' base-pairing, i.e. permitting non-standard base-pairing at the 3rd anti-codon position. The record is from RNAcentral. Lineage: Bacteria; Bacillati; Chloroflexota; Chloroflexia; Chloroflexales; Chloroflexaceae.
GGGGAGAUGGCAGAGUGGUCGAAUGCGGUCGUCUUGAAAACGACAGACCCGCGAGGGUCCGUGGGUUCAAAUCCCACUCUCCCCUCCA